AUGCCUUCCUGGCCCAACAACAACGAGUUAUCCGACGAUGACGAGUACAUGGACGAGUACAACAACAUGCAGAUGGAGUAUUUUCAAACUCCUGACACGGUGAUAGAUCCAAGUUUCUGUGGGCUUGUGGUUGAAUCUGAUCGUAAGUGCAUCCUGCACAGGCAGAGCCUAGGUAGGUUUGUGGCAUUUGGAGGGACUCACACUAGAAGGAGAUUCAUUCGAUGUGCUACUAUGUGGGUAGAUGCCCCUUGGCCAGUAAUUCUGCAAAGGUGUUUAACCAAGCUGUGGGAUAUGUAUCAUGAGGAGAACCUUAGUAGAGUCCAGGACAAAGAGGCUUAUGGGAUAGAGGUUGCAAAACUGAAGGAGUUGGAUUCUCUUGGAAAUCAGUACAGUCAGCUUGUGGAUAAUGUAUCCAAGUUGUUUGAUUACUAGGAUGGGAAGAAAUCCCAUGACAUGGAUUACAUAAGCCAGGCAAUCAAUGAACUUAAGGAGAAGAAGCAACAUCUUGAGGAGCAUGCAAAUAUUGAGGUUCAAAUGGAGAAGCUUAAGCUCAAGAAAGAACAGAGGUGCAUCCUGUAGAGUCAAGCUGAUACCAUUCAAAGCACUAGGAAGGCCAUGAAGGAGAUACAAGUGGAGAGAGACCUCCUUAAAGAAGAGAAAAAGAAGCUGGAGCAAGUCAUUUCUGAGCUCCUGAAGGUUGGUCAUGGGUGCAAGGAAAAGCUGGACAAGAUCAAAGAAGUUGUCAUGAAAGAGUGA
This 756-nucleotide ribosomal RNA is filed under the name Triticum aestivum (bread wheat). RNAcentral's name for it is "partial small subunit ribosomal RNA". The record is from RNAcentral. Lineage: Eukaryota; Viridiplantae; Streptophyta; Magnoliopsida; Poales; Poaceae.